RNAcentral lists this transfer RNA (68 nucleotides) under Marmota monax (woodchuck). Its description in RNAcentral is "tRNA.Ala". The stretch from base 5 to 65 matches the Rfam family "tRNA", at positions 6 to 65 of the family's 71-position model. From Rfam's summary of the family: Transfer RNA (tRNA) molecules are approximately 80 nucleotides in length. Their secondary structure includes four short double-helical elements and three loops (D, anti-codon, and T loops). The record is from RNAcentral. Lineage: Eukaryota; Metazoa; Chordata; Mammalia; Rodentia; Sciuridae.
GGAUUGUAGCUCAGUGGUAGAGUACUUGUCUUGCAUGCAUGAGGCCCAGGGUUGGAUCCUCAGCACCA